AUUGAACGCUGGCGGCAUGCUUUACACAUGCAAGUCGAACGGCAGCGGGGAGGAGCUUGCUUCUCUGCCGGCGAGUGGCGAACGGGUGAGUAAUACAUCGGAACGUGUCGAGAAGAGGGGGAUAACCACCCGAAAGGGUGGCUAAUACCGCAUAAAUUCUGAGGAAGAAAGCUGGGGACCUGGGAAUAGGCCUAGCGCUUUUUGAGCGGCCGAUGUCGGAUUGGCUAGUUGGUGAGGUAAAGGCUCACCAAGGCGAAGAUCUGUAGCGGGUCUGAGAGGAUGACCCGCACAAUUGGGACUGGGAAACGGCCCAGACUCCUACGGGAGGCAGCAGAGGGGAAUUUUGGACAAUGGGGGCAACCCUGAUCCAGCAAUGCCGCGUGUAUGAAGAAGGCCUUAGGGUUGUAAAGUACUUUUGUUAGGGAAGAAAAGGCAGCUGUGAAUAAUGGCUGAUACUGACGGUACCUAAAGAAUAAGCACCGGCUAACUACGUG
RNAcentral lists this ribosomal RNA (494 nucleotides) under uncultured bacterium. RNAcentral's name for it is "partial 16S ribosomal RNA". It matches the Rfam family "Bacterial small subunit ribosomal RNA", at positions 30 to 507 of the family's 1533-position model. The record is from RNAcentral.